CCUACGUGAGGCUGCAGUGGGGAAUAUUGCACAAUGGGGGAAACCCUGAUGCAGCGACGCCGCGUGAGUGAAGAAGUAAUUCGUUAUGUAAAGCUCUCUCAGCAGGGAAGAAAAUGACGGUACCUGAGUAAGAAGCCCCGGCUAACUACGUGCCAGCAGCCGCGGUAAUACGUAGGGGGCAAGCGUUAUCCGGAUUUACUGGGUGUAAAGGGAGCGUAGACGGCAGUGCAAGUCUGGAGUGAAAGGCGGGGGCUCAACCCCCGGACUGCUCUGGAAACUGUACGGCUGGAGUGCAGGAGAGGUAAGUGGAAUUCCUAGUGUAGCGGUGAAAUGCGUAGAUAUUAGGAGGAACACCAGUGGCGAAGGCGGCUUACUGGACUGUAACUGACGUUGAGGCUCGAAAGCGUGGGGAGCAAACAGGAUUAGAUACCCUAGUAGUC
This 440-nucleotide ribosomal RNA is filed under the name uncultured bacterium. Its description in RNAcentral is "partial 16S ribosomal RNA". It matches the Rfam family "Bacterial small subunit ribosomal RNA", at positions 338 to 795 of the family's 1533-position model. The record is from RNAcentral.